This 311-nucleotide long non-coding RNA is filed under the name Nicotiana benthamiana. RNAcentral describes it as "long non-coding RNA (NBEN_LNC007729)". Lineage: Eukaryota; Viridiplantae; Streptophyta; Magnoliopsida; Solanales; Solanaceae. The record is from RNAcentral.
CAUCGGGGCCACCCCCACCUUCUCUCGAAUAACUUCAUUCUUAAUCUUAUCUAACCUGGUGAGCCCGCACAUCCACAUGAGCAUCCUCAUCUCUGCAACCUUCAUUCUCUGAACAUGAGAGUUCUUCACUGGUCAGCACUCUGCCCCAUGCAACAUUGCAGGUCUAACCACAGCUCUAUAAAAUUACCCCUUGAGUUUCUAUGGAACUUUCUUGUCACACAGGACUCCUGAUGCAAGCCUCCAGUUUGACCACCCCGCUCCUAUACAAUGAGUGAUGUCCCCGUCAAUCUCUCCAUCCCCCUGAAUCACCG